GACGAACGCUGGCGGCGUGCUUAACACAUGCAAGUCGAACGGGAAGAAAGAAAGAGCUUGCUCUUUUUGGAUUCUAGUGGCAAACGGGUGAGUAACACGUAAACAACCUGCCUUCAGGAUGGGGACGAACAGACGGAAACGACUGCUAAUACCGAAUACCUUCCAAUUCCGCAUGGAGAUAGGAAGAAAGGGUGGCCUCUACUUGUAAGCUAUCGCCUGAAGAGGGGUUUGCGUCUGAUUAGCUGGUUGGUUGAGGUAACGGCCCACCAAGGCGACGAUCAGUAGCCGGUCUGAGAGGAUGAACGGCCACACUGGAACUGAGACACGGUCCAGACUCCUACGGGAGGCAGCAGUGGGGAAUCUUCCGCAAUGGACGAAAGUCUGACGGAGCAACGCCGCGUGAACGAUGAAGGUCUUCGGAUUGUAAAGUUCUGUGAUCCGGGACGAAGGCAUCAGUUGAGAACAUUGAUUGAUGUUGACGGUACCGGAAAAGCAA
Molecule: ribosomal RNA, 496 nt
Filed under: uncultured bacterium
Lineage: Bacteria
Description: bacterial SSU rRNA
Rfam family: Bacterial small subunit ribosomal RNA
Source: RNAcentral